GAUGAAGAACGUAGCGAAAUGCGAUAAGUAGUGUGAAUUGCAGAAUUCAGUGAAUCAUCGAAUCUUUGAACGCACAUUGCGCCCCUUGGUAUUCCAUGGGGCAUGCCUGUUCGAGCGUCAUUUGUACCUUCAAGCUUUGCUUGGUGUUGGGUGUUUGUCUCGCCUUUGCGUGUAGACUCGCCUUAAAAUAAUUGGCAGCCGGCGUAUUGAUUUCGGAGCGCAGUACACCUCGCGCUUUGCACUCAUAACGACAGCGUCCAAAAGUACAUUUUACACUCUUGACCUCGGAUCAGGUAGGGAUACCCGCUGAACUUAAGCAUAUCAAUAAGCGGAGGA
RNAcentral lists this unclassified non-coding RNA (336 nucleotides) under soil metagenome. Its description in RNAcentral is "partial contains 5.8S ribosomal RNA, internal transcribed spacer 2, and large subunit ribosomal RNA". The stretch from base 1 to 120 matches the Rfam family "5.8S ribosomal RNA", at positions 35 to 154 of the family's 154-position model. The record is from RNAcentral.